GAUGAAGAACGUAGCGAAAUGCGAUAAGUAAUGUGAAUUGCAGAAUUCAGUGAAUCAUCGAGUCUUUGAACGCACAUUGCGCCCCCUGGUAUUCCGGGGGGCAUGCCUGUCCGAGCGUCAUUGCUGCCCUCAAGCACGGCUUGUGUGUUGGGCCCCCGCCCCCCGGCGGGCCCUAAAGUCAGUGGCGGUGCCGUCCGGCUCCGAGCGUAGUAAUUCUUCUCGCUCUGGAGGUCCGGUCGUGUGCUCGCCAGCAACCCCCAAUUUUUUUCAGGUUGACCUCGGAUCAGGUAGGGAUACCCGCUGAACUUAAGCAUAUCAAUAAGCGGAGGA
RNAcentral lists this unclassified non-coding RNA (330 nucleotides) under soil metagenome. RNAcentral's name for it is "partial contains 5.8S ribosomal RNA, internal transcribed spacer 2, and large subunit ribosomal RNA". The stretch from base 1 to 120 matches the Rfam family "5.8S ribosomal RNA", at positions 35 to 154 of the family's 154-position model. The record is from RNAcentral.